AGUGAACGCUGGCGGUAGGCCUAACACAUGCAAGUCGAACGGCAGCACAGUAAGAGCUUGCUCUUACGGGUGGCGAGUGGCGGACGGGUGAGGAAUACAUCGGAAUCUACUUUUUCGUGGGGGAUAACGUAGGGAAACUUACGCUAAUACCGCAUACGACCUACGGGUGAAAGCAGUGGAUCUUCGGACCUUGCGCGAUUGAAUGAGCCGAUGUCGGAUUAGCUAGUUGGCGGGGUAAAGGCCCACCAAGGCGACGAUCCGUAGCUGGUCUGAGAGGAUGGUCAGCCACACUGGAGCUGAGACACGGUCCAGACUCCUACGGGAGGCAGCAGUGGGGAAUAUUGGACAAUGGGCGCAAGCCUGAUCCAGCCAUACCGCGUGGGUGAAGAAGGCCUUCGGGUUGUAAAGCCCUUUUGUUGGGAAAGAAAAGCAGCAGGUUAAUACCCAGCUGUUCCGACGGUACCCAAAGAAUAAGCACCGGCUAACUUCGUG
Molecule: ribosomal RNA, 492 nt
Filed under: uncultured bacterium
Lineage: Bacteria
Description: partial 16S ribosomal RNA
Rfam family: Bacterial small subunit ribosomal RNA
Source: RNAcentral